This is a long non-coding RNA of Carcharodon carcharias (great white shark), 1687 nucleotides long. RefSeq lists it as uncharacterized. NCBI's taxonomy places the organism in Eukaryota, Metazoa, Chordata, Chondrichthyes, Lamniformes, Lamnidae. The transcript has 2 exons. The record is from RefSeq and is a predicted model, not a curated record.
UUGCAAGAAGCUUUCUGAACCUAAGUCCAGGGAACUGGAGAAAAAGCUGAGUGUCAGGGGUCCAGAUCUUCCUUGCUUUCGACAAUGCAAAAAAAAAAGCAUUGAUGACCUGCAAGCGAGGGCUGAAUACUCAGUCUGCUCGUGACCAGAAGACGUGGCAGCCAGCACGGCUUGGCAUUUGCAUUUGUUCCUGUGGCACUGCUGCCUUUGACAGAAAGCUGGCAAAUGAACGCCUGAGGUCGCUUUUCACUCGUCCAUUAGCAAGAGUGCCAAUUCACUUAUAGUGCAACUGUCAGAUAAAUGAGCUUGCUGCUGUCUCUGGAGAUACCGAGACCUGCUUGUAUUAAGUGGCAUUUGCUAGUGCCUCUGGAAAUGGUGGCGGUCCUUUACAAGUUUAAAUGCUAUUUAUCAAGACAGUGGCUGCUUGAAUACUUAGUCCGUUUUUGACUUACUGGGCUGUAAAGACUUCCUGGCUCAGGGGAAUAUCCAGCAGCCAGGAACAAAUCCAGAUACAGUUGUUUUUCUCUUGCUGUGGUGCUGUGGAAUAGGCAACAUGUCAGCCUCUGCCUCUAUCACAGAAUCAUUUCUCCAGGCAACUCUGUAACAAGACUGUCACCAAGGUGAAUGCUGAUUCAGUUGAAAAAUUGAAGAACAAAAUGAAAGAGAUGUGGUUCAGCAGAGUAUAAUACGUGAACCUCUACCAUGAAAAUAGGAAAGGUUGGAAAUGUUCAGUGCAAGCCCUGAAAACCAGAGCAAGCUUUUUGCUAAUUUACCAAUUCCAGGAGGUAUUUGGGGAGGGUGUCAGUAGGAGGGUCGAAGUUAUGUCCAAAGCAUGAGCUUUAAAAUAUGGGGAUUUAAAUACUGAGAUUUAGUGUGUCCAGCCAUAAUGUGUAUCUGCUGGAUUUAAAUACUUGAGUGUGCCCAUUCCCUUUAGUAAUUGCAGGCAGUUAUUUUUAAGAAGAAAAUACAAGGUAUUUCAUUAAUAUCUUAAGCAAAUCAUUGGUGUCAUUGUUGACUUGUAUACGUACACUUUUCUAGACGCCAGGCACUGCAUAAAGUUAUGAAUUGCACUUAUUGAAUAAUUGUGCACAUGUAUUUAAUUGCCCGCUGUUCUGCUGCUGUAAACACCCUCCUGUUGAGUGAGCAAAUGGAUUAUUUUCCUCUUCCUUGCAAGAAAGCUAUUAACUCUUUUUUUCCUUUUAGGUUUUAAUAGCCAAGGAUCAAAGGAGAGACCAGGCCAAAAUAGUUCCUACACUUGACUUAAUGAAACAGAAAUUAAAUAGCAAAAAUGACAGAAAAUUGGUCAAUUAUGACAAACGUGUAGUAGCACUCCUUUCACACGUCUCAAGUAGUUAAACUAACACUUAACAGAGCUGACUGAUGAAAAGUUUAUUAUUCCAGCUGUACUGUAUGCAAAACUUUCAGUUAAUGAUUUCAGAGAAAUGUAGAAAAUGCCAAGAUAUCCACAAAGUUCAGUCUUCCCUAAAAAGAAGUCCUACCUAUAAAUGUGAUUAUGUGUUCUCCAAGUCGAAAUAUAUGCUUUUCCUCAGACAGCUUUUUUCCAUAUACUGUGCUAAUCAAUCACACAAAACUCUAUGGACAUAACAUUGCAAUUAUAAUUGUUUAAUCAUUUGAAAUUGACAGCAGUAAUUGCCAUUAGUUUACCAUUAAAUGAUUAAUGAUCUUA